ACUGCAGUAAUGGCUGAUCAGUACUUUUUUAAACAACAACAAAAUAAUUAAAUCUUAAAAUGUUUCAAAUCUCAGUGUAAACUGAGAUUGCUUGGACUUUUUUUUUUUUUUUCAGGUUAUUACAAUAUGCAAGUGACAGCUGAACCCAUUGUCCCCCAACAGUGUUUCAUCAUACUUGUCAUUAAUCAUUAAUGCAUCACCUCUUAUGUACAGCAUGAAUCUCUCACAUUAAAAAGAUCACACUUCAUAUGUUAACAGGUUCCUUUUCAAUUCCCUCAUGUUUUCUUAGUUCUGAGAGCUUCUGUUCCUUGUUAUUUUAUGUUACUCAAGUAAGGUCAUGGUGUGGAUAUCAUUUUAAUCCUGAGGAGCUCAUGCUGUGUAUUGACUCAAUGUCAGAAUCUGACAUCAAAGCCUUGACUAGCUAAUCCAUGCCAGCCCUGUGGAGUUGAACAGAGGUUUGCAAGUGUGGAUACCUGGGCGGCAGAGCUGUGGAUGCUAGUGCGAUGCAGAUUGGUGGCCGUCACUUGGAAGUGCAGGGGCAUUCUGAGCGGGAUUAGAAUGGCGUAAUCCACUCAACGAAGAUGUGGUGGAUUCUCCCCUUUCGCUCGGUUCAGCGACCCGCCUUGCCGGAUUCUUCUCUCCUGCCGUCAUUACGGCUUGUGCCAGCCGUGGGUUCCGAUCUACUGUGUGGCAGGAGAUUCUACACCCUCUCAAGCUGUCUGCAAAAAGGGCUCGUCAUCUAUUCUGAUAAUUGUCUAUUAAAUAAAGAUAUCAUUAUACCCGCAUCUGAAUCCAGCCUGCUUCCUGACAGGGACCGAAUGGUUCUAAGAACAGUAAGGAUUUUUUACAGUAAUAUUUACACUUGAGCUUGAUUCGGCACAGCACUAUUACGAACCAUUCUUGGCUCAGAAUUCUCAGCACAGUUGGCUUACUAUUUUGAACUGUGCUGGUAGAAUGUGUGUAGUGACGUUGUUACUCAGAAUUGGUCACUUGUUAUCUGGCUUCUAGUUUCUCUCUGUAGUUGGACAAGCGUGCUAUUUGAGCACAUACCCACAUAGCAAACGGACUUGGCCCAAAUGUGGCCUCAAGCUGGCACUGCUGGCCUCCUGUCGGCAAUGGCAUGUACCCUUUCAGCCAGAGCUGGGCCAUGUGUGGCAAUGACGGCAGGGCGGGGAUCCGGCAAACAAUAUGAGGGCCGAUUGUUGGUGGGAGGAGUGUGGCCCAGAUCAGUCAGGUGAUAUGUGGCCCAAAUCAGGCUAUGAUCUGGCAGCAUAUUAUGUGACCCAUGAUAAACAAGAUGCAUGAUAAUGGUUAAAUGAUCACAUACAUUUUUAACGAAGUGUAGUAUUGUUAAUAUGUAGUCUUUGAAAUGGCAAGUCAAAACAGAAUGAAACAUUAUCAUUUCAAAAUUAAGCAAAUUAGUCAAGUGCAUUAAACUGCACUUAAUUAAAAUUUUAUUAAAUUUUAUAUUAUUAUUCUUGGUACAAAUAAUCUUAGAAUCCUUACAUGAAAAGAGAGUGAGAGAGAGAGAGAGAGAGAGAGAGAGAGAGAGAGAAAGAGUGAGAGAGAGAUCAUUUAACCAUCAUGUAAUAAUUAUUUGGUUUACCAUGAGGCACAUCAUUAUUAUUAGUAUGCUGUCAUGCACAAGCAUUAAAUAAAAUGAUCAUGAAAGUAUUUUAUUUUUUAUUU
Long non-coding RNA from Cyprinus carpio (common carp), 1689 nucleotides. The record is from Ensembl. Lineage: Eukaryota; Metazoa; Chordata; Actinopteri; Cypriniformes; Cyprinidae.